RNAcentral lists this long non-coding RNA (1067 nucleotides) under Scleropages formosus (Asian bonytongue). RNAcentral's name for it is "lncRNA (ENSSFOG00015026038.1)". Lineage: Eukaryota; Metazoa; Chordata; Actinopteri; Osteoglossiformes; Osteoglossidae. The record is from RNAcentral.
CAGGAAGAAGGUAAAGAUGAGCAGAUAGAUGUGUAAGAGGUCUUCGUCCAUCUGACUUUGGACUUAAAAUGCAUGUUGGAGAGAAGAGAAGAGAGGUGUUAAUAACAUACCAUGACUCUACAUUAUUUUCCUUUCAUCUGUGUCCUGGUGUCCUGGGUCCAGGCAGAAAGGUGAAAUAUAUCCUCACCGAUCCGAAGACAGCAGGAUUGGUCUUGGAGUCCAAGUGGUCAAACCCCAUCGCUCUCAUAACACCCGUGCCCAACAGCAUCAUCGAUGACGGGCUCAAGGAGCACUCGGCGGAGAUGGUUGUCAUCACCGUCGUGACCUCAUGGUUGAUGGCAGCCCUGCUGCUGCUGCUGGUUGGCCUGCUGAUUGUGGACCGUUCUGGAGUCAUCAGGAGAAAGAACAUCCCUGUGAUGCUGAAGACAUACAAAAACUUUUUUGGGCAAGCCAUCAGUGAAAAUCAUUUGUAAGAGGAAAAAACGUGUAACUAUGAAAAAUCUUUUAUGGGAUUUUAAGGUGAACUUCAUUAAUUCCCAGCAUGUCUUGCAAAACAAUAUUUUUUUUUUUUUUCUGUUUGCUGCUGCUUGUCUUUUUCAUGCAAGCACCACCUGUUCUGGUGGAUUUUGACUAGAUUUUGAAUUUGAAGUUGGAAAAAAAAGUGGUUUGUAUAGCUGGUUUAACAUCUGCAGCUGUGAACCGUUUAGGGCGGUAAAAUUGUGUUAUACUUUACCGCAGUGCAAUAGGUUACGCGUAGACAAGUUGCGCAAUAAGGUUGAGGUUUGCAGGUUGCCAAACCAACCAGGUUGUUAAAACACCUGAAUAUGAUUCGACAUGCUCCAGUUGUUUUGUCGAAGACAAGAAUGUACCAAUAUGUUUUGAUUGUUUAAUAUGACUGUUGAAAUCCAAUCUCUUAAAAUCUCCCUUUCUAGUCCUGAGAUCUGCUUGUCUUUUGUUCUAUCUAAAACUUUUUGAACUCUUGCACUUCCUAGCAAACUUGCUAAACACCCUGUUGGACAUGGUUAAAAAAUGUGACUGAAAAAUGAAUUAAAUGAAAAAAUCCCCGC